GUCUGAAGAAGGAGGCAGGGGAGAGCAGGCAGGCCCAGCUCAGUGCUCAGCAGGAGGCCAACACACACCAGCAGAGGGCUCAGCAGCUGGAGGCAGAGCUGACCAACACCAAUGACACACUCAGGACUCUACGGAAACAGCUGCAGGAGCAGGCUGAUGCCAGCCAGGCAUUGCGGGCAGAGCUGUCCCAGGAGCAGGCCAGGCAGCAGUAGCUGCAGAAGAGGAACCAGGGGGCCAGGGAGAGAGAGGGUCGACUGGAGUCAGAGAGAAACCAGCUCAGAACCAGAAUGGAAUUAGCUCACAGCCAGCUGAAGGAGCGGGAGAGGACUGUGGGGUGCCUGCAGGAGCGUGUGGUAGAGCUGCAGAGCACCACCCAGAGGCUGCAGGAGGAACAGACAGCCUGCCAGGCUCAGCUGCAGCAGUGAAGGAGGGAGCUGGAGAGCAGGGAGGGCCUAGAGACACAGCCAAGAGAUGAGCGUCUUUCAGGAGACAGUGUCCAGGCUGAGGGAGUGUGUAGAGAAGGCCCAGGCCAGCAGCAGGCAGGGGACCAGGGACACAGCAGCAGCACAACACAGCCUCAGAGAGCUGAGACUGGAGCUGGCCUUCACCCAGGCUUCCCAUAGAGAGAGCCUGGAGCUGGUGCGUGCCCUGCUUACACACAGCUGGCUGAGCAGAGUGGUGAGGCUGCAGGUCUACGUAGUGAACUGUCCCGCCUGCAGCAGAGGAGCUCCCAGCUGUCAGAGGAGAGAGGGGGCCAGGAGGAGAGGACCAGGCAGCUGGCUGCAGAGCUCCACAGACUACGCCCUGCCAGCAGACACUGGACGAGACUCGAUCCUGUGAGGGCAGGCUGGCAGAGCUGAGUGCCCAGAUGGGGAGGUCUCGGUGCUGGGGCCAGGAGCAGCUGGUAGCCCUGGAGAAGGAGGUGGUGCUGAUUAAGGUGGAGAUGGCUUCUCUCAGGGAGAACUAGCAUGCCAAGGUGGCCCAGGUGGAGGCCUUACACUCACAGCACGAUUCCAUGGAGCACAAGUACAGCACAGCAGCUAAUGAGUCUCUGGGUAAUGCUCAUUCAGACAGUUCUCUUCUACACAGGGAGAGUGAGCUGGUGAUAACCACCGUCAACCAGUGGGUGAAGGAGCAGAAGCAAGGGUCUGCAGGAGGAGAUGAAGAGGUUGAAGGCUGAGCUGGAAGAGAGCAGGAUGGAAGCCGAGAGGUUCAGAGCCUCAAGUCAGUAUGAGUGGCCAGCGCAGUGCCCUGACCAGACCUCCCGUCCAGCUGCUCCACACAGAAUCUGCUCUGACUGCAACAGGAGCCUUGAGUGGCCAGAGAGACAACCUGUGGAGGAGGAGCUCUGGCUGCCAACCUGCAUCUGCGCUAGCCCCAGACUCAGCCUGUGUCUGCCUGGCAGGGAGGGGGGCCACGUUUGCUGCUGAGGUGGCCCUUAGGACCCUGGAGCGCAGACCCCUGCCAUGUGGCCACCACCACUGGAGCAGACCCGCUCUCUCAGCUGGGACAGGCCAUGCCCUACACAUCUCAGGGAGGGACACUGGUGGGGGCUAGUAUGAACCAGUGAGAAGGGAAGUACAGGUAGUUAUGACUCAAGAGAAUACAGCACACAAAUAUUUAUGAUUUUGUAGCUUGAUAGAUAUGAAUAAAUUAUUGUAUUAUAUUUAAGAUUAUUUAAUGACAAUACUAAACUUGAAUAAUUUUAUUUCUUUGGUAUUUUCAGUAUAAAUUUUUUCAAAAUCGAAUCGUUGUGGCACAAUAUUGUAAUCUCUUACCAUUACUCCUUCAGACCAGUUCUACAUUAUGAUUGUCUACUUAUUUACAACAGGUUCUGUUGAACACAGAUUCUGUGUUGUGAAUCAGUAGACAAUUACAAUCUUACCUCUACAGUAUCUGGGUCCUUCCACCAGUUCGGUGCCUUUUUAGAAGUGUAACUUGUGAUUUCACAAAAUGUUGACAUUCUGUCCUAAAGAGCA
This is a long non-coding RNA of Oncorhynchus gorbuscha (pink salmon), 1979 nucleotides long. RefSeq lists it as uncharacterized. NCBI's taxonomy places the organism in Eukaryota, Metazoa, Chordata, Actinopteri, Salmoniformes, Salmonidae. The record is from RefSeq and is a predicted model, not a curated record. The transcript is spliced from 11 exons.